Oncorhynchus kisutch (coho salmon) is the source of this 2077-nucleotide long non-coding RNA. RefSeq lists it as uncharacterized. NCBI's taxonomy places the organism in Eukaryota, Metazoa, Chordata, Actinopteri, Salmoniformes, Salmonidae. The transcript has 3 exons. The record is from RefSeq and is a predicted model, not a curated record.
AUCCUGCUGUGGUCUGUCACUAACCCCCAGGCAACCUGCUACUGCCGUGGUCUGUCACUAACCCCCAGGCAACCUGCUACUGUUGUGAUCUGUCACUAACCCCCAGACAUCCUGCUGUGGUCUGUCACUAACCCCCAGGCAUCCUUCUACUGCUGUGAUCUGUCACUAACCCCCAGGCACCCUGCUGUGGUCUGUCACUAACUCCCAGGCAUACUGCUGUGGUCUGUCACUAACCCCCAGGCAUCCUGCUACUGCUGUGGUCUGUCACUAACCCCCAGGCAUCCUGCUACUGCUGUGGUCUGUCAUUAACCUCCAGGCAUCCUGCUGUGGUCUGUCACUAACCCCCAGGCAUCCUGCUGUGGUCUGUCACUAACCCCCAGGCACCCUGCUGUGGUCUGUCACUAACUCCCAGGCAUACUGCUGUGGUCUGUCACUAACCCCCAGGCAUCCUGCUACUGCUGUGGUCUGUCUGAGUACAACAAUGCCACUAUCAUUAUUAUUUCAACUUUAAGGUUAAAGUUGAAUGACUGGAUGGUCUAGCACAUUGAAUACCAUGAGACAGACACGUGUCCAGGAUAGUGUAACGGUCAUAAUGAUGUGACAUUAAAUCUCCCUCUGUCCCAGGUGGUUAAAGAGAAUGGUGGGACCCCUGGUCAUAAUGAUGUGACAUUAAUUCUCCCUCUGUCCCAGGUGGUUAAAGAGAAUGGUGGGACCCCUGGUCAUAAUGAUGUGACAUUAAAUCUCCCUCUGUCCCAGGUGGUUAAAGAGAAUGGUAGGACCCCUGGUCAUAAUGAUGUGACAUUAAAUCUCCCUCUGUCCCAGGUGGUUAAAGAGAAUGGUGGGACCCCUGGUCAUAAUGAUGUGACAUUAAAUCUCCCUCUGUCCCAGGUGGUUAAAGAGAAUGGUGGGACCCCUGGUCAUAAUGAUGUGACAUUAAAUCUCCCUCUGUCCCAGGUGGUUAAAGGGAAUGGUGGGACCCCUGGUCAUAAUGAUGUGACAUUAAAUCUCCCUCUGUCCCAGGUGGUUAAAGAGAAUGGUGGGACCCCUGGUCAUAAUGAUGUGACAUUAAAUCUCCCUCUGUCCCAGGUGGUUAAAGGGAAUGGUAGGACCCCUGGUCAUAAUGAUGUGACAUUAAAUCUCCCUCUGUCUCAGGUGGUUAAAGAGAAUGGUAGGACCCCUGGUCAUAAUGAUGUGACAUUAAAUCUCCCUCUGUCCCAGGUGGUUAAAGGGAAUGGUAGGACCCCUGGUCAUAAUGAUGUGACAUUAAAUCUCCCUCUGUCCCAGGUGGUUAAAGAGAAUGGUGGGACCCCUGGUCAUAAUGAUGUGACAUUAAAUCUCCCUCUAUCCCAGGUGGUUAAAGAGAAUGGUGGGACCCCUGGUCAUAAUGAUAUGACAUUAAAUCUCCCUCUGUCCCAGGUGGUUAAAGGGAAUGGUGGGACCCCUGGUCAUAAUGAUGUGACAUUAAAUCUCCCUCUGUCCCAGGUGGUUAAAGGGAAUGGUAGGACCCCUGGUCAUAAUGAUGUGACAUUAAAUCUCCCUCUGUCCCAGGUGGUUAAAGGGAAUGGUAGGACCCCUGGUCAUAAUGAUGUGACAUUAAAUCUCCCUCUGUCCCAGGUGGUUAAAGAGAAUGGUGGGACCCCUGGUCAUAAUGAUGUGACAUUAAAUCUCCCUCUGUCCCAGGUGGUUAAAGAGAAUGGUAGGACCCCUGGUCAUAAUGAUGUGACAUUAAAUCUCCCUCUGUCCCAGGUGGUUAAAGGGAAUGGUGGGACCCCUGGUCAUAAUGAUGUGACAUUAAAUCUCCCUCUGUCCCAGGUGGUUAAAGGGAAUGGUAGGACCCCUGGUCAUAAUGAUGUGACAUUAAAUCUCCCUCUGUCCCAGGUGGUUAAAGGGAAUGGUAGGACCCCUGGUCAUAAUGAUGUGACAUUAAAUCUCCCUCUGUCCCAGGUGGUUAAAGGGAAUGGUAGGACCCCUGGUCAUAAUGAUGUGACAUUAAAUCUCCCUCUGUCCCAGGUGGUUAAAGGGAACCUUAAUGGAGAAAUAGAGGAAAAUCUGUCAAUAUAUUCCUCCUCUCUCUCUC